Molecule: ribosomal RNA, 253 nt
Filed under: uncultured bacterium
Lineage: Bacteria
Description: partial 16S ribosomal RNA
Rfam family: Bacterial small subunit ribosomal RNA
Source: RNAcentral
UACGGGGGGGGCAAGCGUUGUUCGGAAUUACUGGGCGUAAAGGGCUCGUAGGCGGCCAACUAAGGCGGACGUGAAAUCCCUCGGCUUAACCGGGGAACUGCGUCCGAUACUGGAUGGCUUGAGUUCGGGAGAGGGAUGCGGAAUUCCAGGUGUAGCGGUGAAAUGCGUAGAUAUCUGGAGGAACACCGGUGGCGAAGGCGGCAUCCUGGACCGACACUGACGCUGAGGAGCGAAAGCCAGGGGAGCAAACGGG